RNAcentral lists this transfer RNA (71 nucleotides) under Trichonephila inaurata madagascariensis. Its description in RNAcentral is "tRNA-Arg". It matches the Rfam family "tRNA". Rfam says of the family: Transfer RNA (tRNA) molecules are approximately 80 nucleotides in length. Their secondary structure includes four short double-helical elements and three loops (D, anti-codon, and T loops). Lineage: Eukaryota; Metazoa; Arthropoda; Arachnida; Araneae; Nephilidae. The record is from RNAcentral.
GUCCGUAGCGCAAUGAAUAGCGCGUUGGACUCCUAAUCCAAAGGUGGUGGGUUCGAAUCCCACCUGGGAUG